GGUUUAAUUCGAUGAUACGCGAGGAACCUUACCCGGGCUUGAAUUGCAGAGGAAGGAUUUGGAGACAAUGACGCCCUUCGGGGCCUCUGUGAAGGUGCUGCAUGGUUGUCGUCAGCUCGUGCCGUGAGGUGUCGGCUUAAGUGCCAUAACGAGCGCAACCCCUCUCCUUAGUUGCCAUCAGUUGAAGCUGGGCACUCUGGGGACACUGCCACCGUAAGGUGUGA
This 224-nucleotide ribosomal RNA is filed under the name uncultured bacterium. RNAcentral's name for it is "partial 16S ribosomal RNA". It matches the Rfam family "Bacterial small subunit ribosomal RNA", at positions 943 to 1167 of the family's 1533-position model. The record is from RNAcentral.